This 402-nucleotide ribosomal RNA is filed under the name uncultured bacterium. RNAcentral's name for it is "partial 16S ribosomal RNA". It matches the Rfam family "Bacterial small subunit ribosomal RNA", at positions 355 to 748 of the family's 1533-position model. The record is from RNAcentral.
UGGGGAAUAUUGCACAAUGGGCGCAAGCCUGAUGCAGCCAUGCCGCGUGUGUGAAGAAGGCCUUCGGGUUGUAAAGCACUUUCAGCGAGGAGGAAGGUGGUGAACUUAAUACGUUCAUCAAUUGACGUUACUCGCAGAAGAAGCACCGGCUAACUCCGUGCCAGCAGCCGCGGUAAUACGGAGGGUGCAAGCGUUAAUCGGAAUUACUGGGCGUAAAGCGCACGCAGGCGGUUUGUUAAGUCAGAUGUGAAAUCCCCGGGCUCAACCUGGGAACUGCAUUUGAAACUGGCAAGCUAGAGUCUCGUAGAGGGGGGUAGAAUUCCAGGUGUAGCGGUGAAAUGCGUAGAGAUCUGGAGGAAUACCGGUGGCGAAGGCCGGCCCCCUGGACGAAGACUGACGCUC